UGCCCUGGAGAAGCAACAAACUUGUAGACAAGAUGUGGAUGGUGACUGAACUGCUGCUGUAAACUUGUACCCAGAACAAGCAGGACAAAGCAAAUCUCCACUGUUGGCACGUGAUUUAAGGUGGACACGGAGUGGUAAAAGAUGGGAGUGAACAGAGGGGAAAAUCUGGCUUGAAGAGAAUGGGGAGUACAUGCUGCA
Molecule: long non-coding RNA, 198 nt
Filed under: Cyanistes caeruleus (blue tit)
Lineage: Eukaryota; Metazoa; Chordata; Aves; Passeriformes; Paridae
Description: lncRNA (ENSCCEG00000022888.1)
Source: RNAcentral